UGGCAAGAUUUGAAAAGGACCUGGUC
RNAcentral lists this non-coding RNA (26 nucleotides) under Mus musculus (house mouse). The record is from RNAcentral. Lineage: Eukaryota; Metazoa; Chordata; Mammalia; Rodentia; Muridae.